GGGGAUGUGGCGGAAUUGGUAGACGCACUGGAUUUAGGUUCCAGCGCCGCAAGGUGUGAGAGUUCGAGUCUCUCCAUCCCCACCA
RNAcentral lists this transfer RNA (85 nucleotides) under Moraxella catarrhalis. Its description in RNAcentral is "tRNA-Leu". It matches the Rfam family "tRNA". Rfam says of the family: Transfer RNA (tRNA) molecules are approximately 80 nucleotides in length. Their secondary structure includes four short double-helical elements and three loops (D, anti-codon, and T loops). Further hydrogen bonds mediate the characteristic L-shaped molecular structure. tRNAs have two regions of fundamental functional importance: the anti-codon, which is responsible for specific mRNA codon recognition, and the 3' end, to which the tRNAs corresponding amino acid is attached (by aminoacyl-tRNA synthetases). tRNAs cope with the degeneracy of the genetic code in two manners: having more than one tRNA (with a specific anti-codon) for a particular amino acid; and 'wobble' base-pairing, i.e. permitting non-standard base-pairing at the 3rd anti-codon position. Lineage: Bacteria; Pseudomonadati; Pseudomonadota; Gammaproteobacteria; Moraxellales; Moraxellaceae. The record is from RNAcentral.